This 243-nucleotide ribosomal RNA is filed under the name uncultured bacterium. RNAcentral describes it as "partial 16S ribosomal RNA". It matches the Rfam family "Bacterial small subunit ribosomal RNA", at positions 15 to 257 of the family's 1533-position model. The record is from RNAcentral.
GAUCCUGGCUCAGGACGAACGCUGGCGGCGUGCCUAACACAUGCAAGUCGAACGGACGAGGCCCCUUCGGGGACUGAGUUAGUGGCGAACGGGUGAGUAACGCGUGAGGAACCUGCCUUUCAGCGGGGGACAACAGUUGGAAACGACUGCUAAUACCGCAUGAAGCAAUUGAACCGCAUGAUUUGAUUGCCAAAGAUUUAUUGCUGAAAGAUGGCCUCGCGUCUGAUUAGCUAGUUGGUGAGG